AACGAACGCUGGCGGCGUGGAUAAGACAUGCAAGUCGAACGAGAGAAUUGCUAGCUUGCUAAUAAUUCUCUAGUGGCGCACGGGUGAGUAACACGUGAGUAACCUGCCCCCGAGAGCGGGAUAGCCCUGGGAAACUGGGAUUAAUACCGCAUAGUAUCGAAAGAUUAAAGCAGCAAUGCGCUUGGGGAUGGGCUCGCGGCCUAUUAGUUAGUUGGUGAGGUAACGGCUCACCAAGGCGAUGACGGGUAGCCGGUCUGAGAGGAUGUCCGGCCACACUGGAACUGAGACACGGUCCAGACACCUACGGGUGGCAGCAGUCGAGAAUCAUUCACAAUGGGGGAAACCCUGAUGGUGCGACGCCGCGUGGGGGAAUGAAGGUCUUCGGAUUGUAAACCCCUGUCAUGUGGGAGCAAAUUAAAAAGAUAGUACCACAAGAGGAAGAGACGGCUAACUCUGUGCCAGCAGCCGCGGUAAUACAGAGGUCUCAAGCGUUGUUCGGAAUCACUGGGCGUAAAGCGUGCGUAGGCUGUUUCGUAAGUUGUGUGUGAAAGGCGCGGGCUCAACCCGCGGACGGCUCAUGAUACUGCGAGACUAGAGUAAUGGAGGGGGAACCGGAAUUCUCGGUGUAGCAGUGAAAUGCGUAGAUAUUGAGAGGAACACUCGUGGCGAAGGCGGGUUCCUGGACAUUAACUGACGCUGAGGCACGAAGGCCAGGGGAGCCAAA
Molecule: ribosomal RNA, 724 nt
Filed under: uncultured bacterium
Lineage: Bacteria
Description: bacterial SSU rRNA
Rfam family: Bacterial small subunit ribosomal RNA
Source: RNAcentral